Non-coding RNA from Cinara cedri, 237 nucleotides. NCBI's taxonomy places the organism in Eukaryota, Metazoa, Arthropoda, Insecta, Hemiptera, Aphididae. The record is from the annotation of a GenBank genome assembly.
UAUUUUAGUGAAUAUCCACUGGCGUCCAUCAUCAAAAGCCCCACGACCAGAACCCCUUAAUUUUCGGACAUUUCCCGGGCACCCAUCAGCGAGAGUAUUCUGUUACAAAAGUCGACUACUAAUUAAAUAAUUUAUCACGUUAUAAUAUUAUGUGUUCCUGUGAACGUCACAUACGGUAAGCUAAAUCUUGCUCUGCUGGUUCGUGUCCAGUUAAUUUUACUGUGUGAAAAUCUCCUU